UGAUCAUUGAAUUGUACCCAUCUCUGCCU
This 29-nucleotide non-coding RNA is filed under the name Mus musculus (house mouse). Lineage: Eukaryota; Metazoa; Chordata; Mammalia; Rodentia; Muridae. The record is from RNAcentral.